CAGCUUGGUACAACACAAGCAGAACCUGAGACCAGCAUGGCCUCCACCACACAGCCUGAUGACACUGCACCAGCCUACCAGUCUGCUCCAGCCCAGGUCAACCUACCAGCCUCUCAGUCUGCUCCAGCCCAGGUCAACCUACCAGCCUCUCAGUCUGCUCCAGCCCAGGUCAACCUACCAGCCUCUCAGUCUGCUCCAGCCCAGGUCAACCUACCAGCCUCUCAGUCUGCUCCAGCCCAGGUCAACCUACCAGCCUCUCAGUCUGCUCCAGCCCAGGUCAACCUACCAGCCUCUCAGUCUGCUCCAGCCCAGGUCAACCUACCAGCCUCCCAGUCUGCUCCAGCCCAGGUCAGAAUACCAGCCUCCCAGUCUGCUCCACCCAGACAAUCACCCACAACUGCAAUCCUAAUUGAUUCAAAUGGGAAGUUCUUAGUCCAGGAAAGAUUAUUCCCUAGACACAAAGUGUAUAAGUUCUGGUGUCCUACAACUGAGAGUGCAAUGCAGCUACUCAGUCAGAACAGGAUUGACACCCCUGACAACAUCAUCAUCCACACUGGCACAAACGACCUUCAUGCCAAAGGUGAAAAUGUAUCUGGGGCAGUGAGAAGAGUGGCAGAACGGGCACAGGCUGUGUUCCCAACAACCAAUAUAGUUG
Oncorhynchus tshawytscha (Chinook salmon) is the source of this 655-nucleotide long non-coding RNA. The record is from Ensembl. NCBI's taxonomy places the organism in Eukaryota, Metazoa, Chordata, Actinopteri, Salmoniformes, Salmonidae.